Molecule: transfer RNA, 74 nt
Filed under: Candidatus Levyibacteriota bacterium
Lineage: Bacteria; Candidatus Levyibacteriota
Description: Candidatus Levybacteria bacterium tRNA-Phe
Rfam family: tRNA
About the family: Transfer RNA (tRNA) molecules are approximately 80 nucleotides in length. Their secondary structure includes four short double-helical elements and three loops (D, anti-codon, and T loops).
Source: RNAcentral
GCCGAGAUAGCCAAGGUGGUCAAGGCACCUGUCUGAAGAACAGGCCAUGUCAGUUCGACUCUGACUCUCGGCAC